UACAGAGGGUGCAAGCGUUAAUCGGAAUUACUGGGCGUAAAGCGUGCGUAGACGGUUGCGUAAGUCAGAUGUGAAAGCCCCGGGCUCAACCUGGGAAUUGCAUUUGAGACUGCGUAGCUAGGGUGCGGAAGAGGGAAGCGGAAUUUCCGGUGUAGCGGUGAAAUGCGUAGAUAUCGGAAGGAACACCGGUGGCGAAGGCGGCAUUCUGGACCGAUAUUGACGCUGAGGAGCGAAAGCGUGGGGAGCGAACAGG
This 253-nucleotide ribosomal RNA is filed under the name uncultured bacterium. Its description in RNAcentral is "partial 16S ribosomal RNA". It matches the Rfam family "Bacterial small subunit ribosomal RNA", at positions 524 to 776 of the family's 1533-position model. The record is from RNAcentral.